Molecule: long non-coding RNA, 364 nt
Filed under: Malus domestica (apple)
Lineage: Eukaryota; Viridiplantae; Streptophyta; Magnoliopsida; Rosales; Rosaceae
Description: long non-coding RNA (MDOM_LNC001207)
Source: RNAcentral
UUGUUUUAAAAAAAAAUAGUUAUUACAACUAUGACAAGUAAAUGAUGUAAUAAACCCUCACAAAACUUGAAAUGACAAACACCUUAUACAUAUACUACAUGCGGUUCAUUUCAUCAUACACAAGGGUGGCAUUGAGUUGAGAGAAAGAAAAAAUGGGGAAAAGGGGUAUGGGAAAUCAGGGGAGCUUCGCCCAUCAUUCGAAGGGAAAGAAAGAAAGGAUAAAAUCUGAAAACUUGGUCUGCUUUCUGUGCUUCAAAAGCUUUGGCACCAAGAAAGCCUUUCAAGAUCAUCUGAAUGACAGACGGACUGCGGCAAAUGCUUAAGUUGCGGGUGCUGCUUCAAGAUUGAGUCCAGCUUCACCGAC